RNAcentral lists this ribosomal RNA (1122 nucleotides) under fungal endophyte. RNAcentral describes it as "eukaryotic LSU rRNA". The stretch from base 515 to 1122 matches the Rfam family "Eukaryotic large subunit ribosomal RNA", at positions 1 to 613 of the family's 3401-position model. Lineage: Eukaryota; Fungi. The record is from RNAcentral.
GAUGGUGACAGCGGAGGGUCAUUACCGAGUUCUUUACGCUCGAAACCCUUUGUGAACCUAUAAACCCGUUGCUUCGGCGGCGCCGAGCUCCCGCGAGGGAGGGAGGCGCCCGCCGGUGUAUUCAGAAUCUCUGUUCGAACCCGACGUUACCUCUGAGUGUUCUAAGCGAACUGUUAAAACUUUCAGCAACGGAUCUCUUGGCUCUAGCAUCGAUGAAGAACGCAGCGAAACGCGAUAAGUAGUGUGAAUUGCAGAAUUCAGUGAAUCAUCGAAUCUUUGAACGCACAUGGCGCCCCCCGGUAUCCCGGGGGGCAUGCCUGUCCGAGCGUCGUUUCAACCCUCGGGCCCGUAGUGGCCCGGCGUUGGGGACCUACGCGCCGACGUAGGCCCCGAAAAGCAGUGGCGGACCCGCGCCGGCCCCCCCUUUGCGUAGUAGCAUCAGCCUCGCAUCGGGAGCCCGCGGGACCUCCGGCCUCUAAACCCCCCACAAAGCCCGCUCCGGCGGCACCAAGGUUGACCUCGGAUCAGGUAGGAAUACCCGCUGAACUUAAGCAUAUCAAUAAGCGGAGGAAAAGAAACCAACAGGGAUUGCCUCAGUAACGGCGAGUGAAGCGGCAACAGCUCAAAUUUGAAAUCUGGCUCCCUUGGGGGUCCGAGUUGUAAUUUGCAGAGGAUGCCUCGGGUGCGGGUUCCUUCCGAGUUCCCUGGAACGGGACGCCAUAGAGGGUGAGAGCCCCGUCUGGUCGGAAACCCAGCCCGUGUGAGGCUCCCUCGACGAGUCGAGUAGUUUGGGAAUGCUGCUCUAAGGGGAGGUAUACUCCUUCCAAGGCUAAAUACCGGCUAGAGACCGAUAGCGCACAAGUAGAGUGAUCGAAAGAUGAAAAGCACUUUGAAAAGAGAGUCAAAUAGCACGUGAAAUUGCUGAAAGGGAAGCGCUUAUUACCAGACUUGGGUUCGGCGGUUCAACCGGCGCCACGCGCCGGGGCACUCCGCCGGCCCAGGCCAGCAUCAGCUCUCCGUCGGGGGCAAAGGCGUCGGGAAUGUAGCUCCCCCUCGGGGGAGUGUUAUAGCCCGGCGUGUCAUACCCUUCGGGGGGCUGAGGUCCGCGCUCCGCAAGGAGCG